AACGAACGUUGGCGGCGUGGAUGAGGCAUGCAAGUCGCACGUGAAAGUCGCAAGAUGAGUAAAGUGGCGGACGGGCGAGUAACACGUAAUCGAGCUGCCCACGAGACGGGGAUAACCUCGGGAAACCGAGGCUAAUACCCGAUGGUCUCACCGGAUCGCAUGGUCUGGUGAGUAAAUGCUGGGGUCCUUCGGGACCUGGUGCUUGUGGAGGUGAUUGCGGCCCAUCAGCUAGUUGGCGGGGUAACGGCCCACCAAGGCGAUGACGGGUAGCCGGCCUAAGAGGGUGGUCGGCCGCACUGGGACUGAGAUACUGCCCAGACUCCUACGGAGGCUGCAGUCGAGAAUCUUCCGGCAAUGGGCAAAGCCUGACGGAGCGACGCCGCGUGGAGGACGAAGGCCUC
Molecule: ribosomal RNA, 401 nt
Filed under: uncultured bacterium
Lineage: Bacteria
Description: bacterial SSU rRNA
Rfam family: Bacterial small subunit ribosomal RNA
Source: RNAcentral